CUACCCGGUCGUUCAACGGUAGUUAAAUCGCUACCACCAUCUCCGUCACUAUCGUAGAACGAAUCUGAGGACGGAUGCUCCUGCAAUGUAUCAUGCAUCGGUUCUGACGGAAAGGGAGCUGGCCGAGCGAGGCAUAUCUUGGACGCUCAGAGUUUCAGCUUCUUGUAACCACUCGUCAACGUUCACUGCAGAAACAAUAAAUACGCAACAAUCGUAUCGAUUAAUUGAUGCGAUUUACCAUA
Megachile rotundata (alfalfa leafcutting bee) is the source of this 242-nucleotide long non-coding RNA. The record is from RefSeq and is a predicted model, not a curated record. NCBI's taxonomy places the organism in Eukaryota, Metazoa, Arthropoda, Insecta, Hymenoptera, Megachilidae.